Molecule: ribosomal RNA, 499 nt
Filed under: uncultured bacterium
Lineage: Bacteria
Description: partial 16S ribosomal RNA
Rfam family: Bacterial small subunit ribosomal RNA
Source: RNAcentral
AUUGAACGCUGGCGGCAUGCCUAACACAUGCAAGUCGAACGCGAAAGGGCUUCGGCCUGAGUAGAGUGGCGGACGGGUGAGUAAUGCAUCGGAAUCUGCCUUGAGGUGGGGGACAACCCAGGGAAACUUGGGCUAAUACCGCAUGAUCUCGAGAGAGCAAAGUGGGGGACCCGCGAGGGCCUCAUGCCUUGGGAGGAGCCGAUGUCCGAUUAGCUAGUUGGUGGGGUAAGGGCUUACCAAGGCGACGAUCGGUAGCUGGUCUGAGAGGAUGAUCAGCCACACUGGGACUGAGACACGGCCCAGACUCCUACGGGAGGCAGCAGUGGGGAAUAUUGGACAAUGGGGGCAACCCUGAUCCAGCAAUGCCGCGUGUGUGAAGAAGGCCUGCGGGUUGUAAAGCACUUUUGUCCGGGAAGAAAGGACCUGACCUAAUACGUUGGGGGGAUGACGGUACCGGAAGAAUAAGCACCGGCUAACUUCGUGCCAGCAGCCGCGGUAA